Molecule: ribosomal RNA, 443 nt
Filed under: uncultured bacterium
Lineage: Bacteria
Description: partial 16S ribosomal RNA
Rfam family: Bacterial small subunit ribosomal RNA
Source: RNAcentral
CCUACGGGAGGCAGCAGUGGGGAAUAUUGGGCAAUGGGCGCAAGCCUGACCCAGCAACGCCGCGUGAAGGAAGAAGGCCCUCGGGUUGUAAACUUCUUUUGUCAGGGACGAAGAAAGUGACGGUACCUGACGAAUAAGCCACGGCUAACUACGUGCCAGCAGCCGCGGUAAUACGUAGGUGGCAAGCGUUAUCCGGAUUUACUGGGUGUAAAGGGCGUGUAGGCGGGACUGCAAGUCAGAUGUGAAAUUCCAGGGCUCAACCCUGGAACUGCAUUUGAAACUGUAGUUCUUGAGUGAUGGAGAGGCAGGCGGAAUUCCGUGUGUAGCGGUGAAAUGCGUAGAUAUACGGAGGAACACCAGUGGCGAAGGCGGCCUGCUGGACAUUAACUGACGCUGAGGCGCGAAAGCGUGGGGAGCAAACAGGAUUAGAUACCCCAGUAGUC